GCCUCUGUAGCUCAGUGGUAGAGCGUUUGUCUUGUAAACAAAAGGUCUGUUGUUCAAUCCAGCACCGAGGCA
Mucor circinelloides is the source of this 72-nucleotide transfer RNA. It matches the Rfam family "tRNA". Rfam says of the family: Transfer RNA (tRNA) molecules are approximately 80 nucleotides in length. Their secondary structure includes four short double-helical elements and three loops (D, anti-codon, and T loops). NCBI's taxonomy places the organism in Eukaryota, Fungi, Mucoromycota, Mucoromycetes, Mucorales, Mucoraceae. The record is from Rfam.